AUAUAAAUCAUGAUUCCAUGAUCACGAAGGUGUUUCCCCAGGGCGAGGCUUAUCCAUUGCACUCCUGAUGGGCUGACCCCUGGCGAUUUCCCCAAAUGCGGGAAAUGCGACUGCAUAAUUUGUGAUAGUGGGGGGACUGCGUGUUCGCGCUCUCCCCUG
Small nuclear RNA from Sarcophilus harrisii (Tasmanian devil), 159 nucleotides. Its record names the gene U1. It matches the Rfam family "U1 spliceosomal RNA". Rfam says of the family: U1 is a small nuclear RNA (snRNA) component of the spliceosome (involved in pre-mRNA splicing). Its 5' end forms complementary base pairs with the 5' splice junction, thus defining the 5' donor site of an intron. NCBI's taxonomy places the organism in Eukaryota, Metazoa, Chordata, Mammalia, Dasyuromorphia, Dasyuridae. The record is from Ensembl.